UAUCAAUCCGGAGCAGGAAUAUAUGAAAUUCCCUAAAGAAACAACACUGAGAAUAGAGAAGAAAUCUACAUAGGUGCAACUGCUAGGUCUUUAAAAGACAGGAUAAGGGAAUACAAGCGGGACAUUGGGAAUGCCGGGUUGACCACAGCACUGGCCGGGUGCGCAUGCCGGCAGGGCCUGGACAUCGGAUGGGGCGAUUCCGGAAUGAUAAAGCGCUUGGAGAGCCCAGAGAAUUUGCCGGUCGCAGAGACGGUGCGGAUACGCAGGGGCGGACGGGGUGUCUUUGUGGUUGGUGAUGGACAGACGGGCUCGUUGCGGGAGCCAUGGGAGUGCCUCUUGGGCGGCCCCAGCACCCAUGACUGGGCCCCUAUGGCGCAGGGACAGUGUGACACAUUUAUUGUGGGCUCCCUUUAAGCAUUAUGGGAC
RNAcentral lists this long non-coding RNA (426 nucleotides) under Androctonus crassicauda. The record is from RNAcentral. Lineage: Eukaryota; Metazoa; Arthropoda; Arachnida; Scorpiones; Buthidae.